This 247-nucleotide ribosomal RNA is filed under the name uncultured bacterium. RNAcentral's name for it is "partial 16S ribosomal RNA". It matches the Rfam family "Bacterial small subunit ribosomal RNA", at positions 86 to 334 of the family's 1533-position model. The record is from RNAcentral.
AGAUGGCGACCGGCGCACGGGUGAGUAACACGUACCCAACCUGCCGAUAACUCGGGGAUAGCCUUUCGAAAGAAAGAUUAAUACCCGAUGGUAUAAUCAGACCGCAUGGUCUUGUUAUUAAAGAAUUUCGGUUAUCGAUGGGGAUGCGUUCCAUUAGGCAGUUGGUGAGGUAACGGCUCACCAAACCUUCGAUGGAUAGGGGUUCUGAGAGGAAGGUCCCCCACAUUGGAACUGAGACACGGUCCAA